CCAUUUUGUUAGGGCUUCUCAAGUGGGAAUCAGGAAUGCUGCUGUGUUCUAGAGAUGUUCUGUUCUUCCUGUAGGGCUGAAGCAGUGCCUACUCGAUAGAAUCAGUCAUCAUGCAAAUAAAUGCCACCUGAGUCAAAGGCAAAGCCAGUGUGCAGCUUGGAGCAAAGAAGUUAAAAGAAUAUUGGCAGAGGAAGAGCCCUGGUGUUCCAGCAGGAGCCAACAGGAAAAAGAAAAUCAAUGGCAGUAGCCCUGACACAGCAGCUUCUGGUGGUUACCGCUCACCUGGGGAUGUGAGUCUUGGCUGACCAGGCUCCUGGGGACAGGGGACCCAAGGGGCAGUAGAGGGUAAUUGUUAAGAUUGUGGAUGGACUGUUGGGUACUGGUUAAGAAUUCUGGGUUUGAGGCCGGGCGCGGUGGCUCAAGUCUGUAAUCCCAGCACUUUGGGAGGCCGAGACGGGCGGAUCACGAGGUCAGGAGAUCGAGACCAUCCUGGCUAACACAGUGAAACCCCGUCUCUACUAAAAAUACAAAAACUAGCCAGGCGAGGUGGCGGGCGCCUGUAGUCCCAGCUACUCGGGAGGCUGAGGUGGGAGAAUGGCGCAAACCCGGGAGGCGGAGCUUGCAGUGAGCUGAGAUCCGGCCACUGCACUCCAGUCCGGGCGACAGAGCGAGACUCCGCCU
Molecule: long non-coding RNA, 681 nt
Filed under: Rhinopithecus bieti (black snub-nosed monkey)
Lineage: Eukaryota; Metazoa; Chordata; Mammalia; Primates; Cercopithecidae
Description: lncRNA (ENSRBIG00000046154.1)
Source: RNAcentral